Molecule: ribosomal RNA, 323 nt
Filed under: uncultured eukaryote
Lineage: Eukaryota
Description: partial 18S ribosomal RNA
Rfam family: Eukaryotic small subunit ribosomal RNA
Source: RNAcentral
CCCUUAGAUGUUCUGGGCCGCACGCGUGCUACACUGAGUGGAUCAGCGGGUCAGGUUGCGCGAAAGCGUUUCCUAAUCUUUAAAUCCGCUCGUGAUGGGGAUUGACGGUUGCAAUUUUCUGUCAUGAACGAGGAAUACCUUGUAAGCGCGGGUCAUCAUCCCGCGCUGAAUACGUCCCUGCCCUUUGUACACACCGCCCGUCGCUCCUACCGAUUGAAUGAUCCGAUGAAUAUCAUGGAUUGAGGAUGCAAGUAGGUUCGCCUAUCUUCAUCUUCGAGAAGUGAAGUAAAUCUUAUCAUUUAGAGGAAGGAGAAGUCGUAACA